UGCCGGGUCGUAUAAUGGUAGUACGAUGGACUCUGGAUCCAUCUAUCUAGGUUCAAAUCCUAGCCCGGCAA
This 71-nucleotide transfer RNA is filed under the name Candidatus Daviesbacteria bacterium RIFCSPHIGHO2_01_FULL_40_24. RNAcentral describes it as "tRNA-Gln". It matches the Rfam family "tRNA". From Rfam's summary of the family: Transfer RNA (tRNA) molecules are approximately 80 nucleotides in length. The record is from RNAcentral. RNAcentral also lists the same sequence under 3 other names. Lineage: Bacteria; Candidatus Daviesiibacteriota.